Molecule: ribosomal RNA, 433 nt
Filed under: uncultured bacterium
Lineage: Bacteria
Description: partial 16S ribosomal RNA
Rfam family: Bacterial small subunit ribosomal RNA
Source: RNAcentral
AACGAACGCUGGCGGCAUGCCUAACACAUGCAAGUCGAACGAUGCCUUCGGGCAUAGUGGCGCACGGGUGCGUAACGCGUGGGAAUCUGCCUUUCGGUUCGGAAUAACUCAGGGAAACUUGAGCUAAUACCGGAUAAUGUCGCAAGACCAAAGAUUUAUCACCGAAAGAUGAGCCCGCGUAGGAUUAGCUAGUUGGUGAGGUAAAGGCUCACCAAGGCGACGAUCCUUAGCUGGUCUGAGAGGAUGAUCAACCACACUGGGACUGAGACACGGCCCAGACUCCUACGGGAGGCAGCAGUGGGGAAUAUUGGACAAUGGGCGAAAGCCUGAUCCAGCAAUGCCGCGUGAGUGAUGAAGGCCUUAGGGUUGUAAAGCUCUUUUACCCGGGAAGAUAAUGACGGUACCGGGAGAAUAAGCCCCGGCUAACUCCGUG